Molecule: non-coding RNA, 1384 nt
Organism: Microcebus murinus (gray mouse lemur)
Lineage: Eukaryota; Metazoa; Chordata; Mammalia; Primates; Cheirogaleidae
Source: RefSeq, a predicted model, not a curated record
AAAAUGGGGAAGGAAAAGACUCACAUCAACAUCAUCGUCAUUGGACAUGUAGAUUCGGGCAAGUCCACCACUACUGGCCAUCUGAUCUACAAAUGUGGUGGGAUCGACAAAAGAACCAUUGAAAAAUUUGAGAAGGAGGCCGCUGAAAUGGGAAAGGGCUCCUUCAAGUAUGCCUGUGUCUUGGAUGAACUGAAAGUUGAGCAUGAGCAUGGUGUCACCAUUGAUAUCUCCCUGUGGAAAUUUGAGACCAGCAAAUAUUAUGUGACUCUUAUUGAUGCCCCAGGACACAGAAACUUUAUCAAACACAUGAUUACAGGCACAUCUCAGGCUGACUGUGCUGUCUUGAUUGUUGCUGCUGGUGUUGGUGAAUUUGAAACUGAUGUCUCAUAGAAUGGGCAGACCCGUGAGCAUGCCCUUGUGGCUUACAUACUAGGUGUGAAACAACUAAUUGUGUUAACAAAAUGGAUUCCACUGAGCCUCCCUACAGACAGAAGAGAUGAGGAAAUCGUUAAAGAAGUCAGCACUUACAUUAAGAAAAUUGGCUACAACCCUGACACAGUAGCAGUUGUGCCAAUUUCUGGCUGGAAUGGUGACAACAUGUUGGAGCCAAGUGCUAACAUGCUUUGGUUCAAGGGAUGGAAAGUCACCCGUAAAGAUGGCAAUGCCAGUGGAACCACACUGCUUGAAGCUCUGGAUUGCAUCCUGCCACCAGCUCGUCCAACUGACAAGCCCUUGCGUCUGCCUCUCCAGGAUGUCUAUAAAAUUGGUGGUAUGGUACUAUCCCUGUGGGCCGAGUAGAGAAUGGUGUUCUCAAACCAGGCAUGGUGGUCACCUUUGCUCCAGUCAAUGUUACAAGUGAAGUAAAGUCCGUUGAAAUGCACCAUGAAGCUUUGAGUGAAGCUCUUCCAGGGGACAAUGUGGGCUUCAAUGUCAAGAAUGUGUCUGUCAAAGAUGUUUGUCAUGGCAAUGUUGCUGGUGACAGCAAAAAUGACCCACCAAUGGAAGCAGCAGGCUUCACUGCUCAGGUGAUUAUCCUGAACCAUCCAGGCCAAAUUAGUGCUGGCUAUGCUCCUGUACUGGAUUGUCACACUGCUCACUUUGCCUCCAAGUUUGCUGAGCUGAAGGAAAAGAUUGAUCGCCGCUCUGGAAAGAAGCUGGAGGAUGGUCCUAAAUUCUUGAAAUCUGGUGAUGCUGCCAUCGUCGAUAUGGUCCCUGGCAAGCCCAUGCGUGUCAAGAGCUUCUCAGACUAUCCUCCUCCGGGUUGUUUUGCUGUUCGUGAUAUGAGACAGACGUUGCUGUGGGUGUCAUCAAAGCAGUGGACAAGAAGACUGCUGGAGCUGGCAAGGUCACCAAAUCUACCCAGAAAGCUUAGAAGGCUAAAUGA